GAUAACAAUAUUUUUGUGGGAUGAAAGUGAAAAAUAUAGUGCAAUUAAUUAACUAAUCUUUGUUGAAUACAUAAGUUAGAAAUAUUAUCUUUUGACCGUUUAAGUUUUUACAGAACAACAAUUGUUUUUACAUAAUUUAGCAUAAUAUUGGAGUAGGAUGUCAUGAGUAAAAAGUCUCGAGUUCAGAUGUGAAGAAAAAUAUUUUAUAUAUAAAUUAGACACAUCAGUCUCUGACAGUUUAAACUUUUCGAGAAAAUUAAUUAUUUCAUAUAAUUUAACAUUCUUAAAGAUUAAGAUCUGAUUACUAAAAAGAGAUAGGAAAGAAAAAAAAAUUAGGCACCAAUGUAGAAUAGCUCUUCCAUAAAAGCACAUGAAGUUCAUAAGCACACAUGCAUUAUUGGUGUUGUGUUUAAAAUAUGUUCUCACAAAUGUGUACAUGGAAAAACCCAAAUAUGUUAGUUAGAGAUCGUAUAUAUAUGAGUCAAUUAUUUUGACAAGAUGCAUGCUAUAUAUAUCUAAUUAGUACGUGUACUUUGUUCACACAAAAUAGUUGGUCACUUUUGUUUCACUUUAUCAAAAAUUUUUUAGGACAAACUUUAAAACCUGGUUUCGUAUUUUCUUACUUUAAUACUAUAUGAUUUAAAGUGUAUCAAUUUAGUACCAUGUGUGAUUUUAUUUUUCUUUUUUUAUCAGCUCCUUUGUUAACGUUUUGUUAAAUUAUAUACAAAAAUUUUAGAUAUCCCAUCUAGCUUUAUUGAAUAUUCACUUUAGUACCUUUUAGUUUUAACUUUGUUACUGAUUUAACAAAAAAAAAUAGUGAAGGAGACAAUAAUAAUAAUAUAUAGAAAAAUGAAACCACGGGGUACUAAAUUGAUACACUUUAAACCAAAGAAUUCUUAUAAAUUGUACUGAUGUUUUCCCAAAAUUUUAUUUCACUUUUUUGUCUAGAGUUUUACAUUAUGUUUGUUUUAAAAAAUUUCUAAUAUUAGAUCUAAUUUGGAUGGGAUUGAAAUCUUUUGGUUUGGUACAUAUAAUACUUGAUGUGGAUAAGAAAUUGUUAGUUUAUUUGAUUUUGAUGAAAAAUAUUAUGUUUAAAUACUGAUUUACUCAAAUUUCAGUGCAGCAUAUAGAUUAAAUGUAAAGUUUUACUUUUUAUUGAGUUAAAAUGUAGAAUGAUAAAUAGUAUUACAAACCUUUUGUGACUAAAUAAUAAAUAGUCAUUAUAUAUUUGAUAAAGGAUAAAUUGUAUUAUUACCCCUGAACUUUUGGCGAAGUUUCACUUUACCUCUCGAAUUUCUAAAAUGGACAUGCAUCUAACCCCCUAAACUCUAAUAUUUCGUUCAUGUUACCCCUUCCAUCAGUUUUCCGUCAAGCUCCGUUAACCGGAAACUGACGGAAGGGAUAAAACGAAUGAAAUAUUAGAGUUUAGGGUGUUAGAUGUCUAUUUUAGGAGUCUGAGGGGUUAAAUGAAGUACAAAUAUUUUAUUUAAGUGUAUUUUAUAGAACAAUGCUUCUAAAGAUAAAAGGGACAAACGAGUACUACAGAAAAUUAACUGAGAAUUAAAAUCUCUAUAUCCGAGUGAGGACACCUAUUAUAAAUCAACCAUAUUAGCGAGUACAUCAGGAUAGUAGAGUGCUCGAGCAUCGUAGGUAGUUAGUAUCGCUCUUUCUUUAUCUUUAAGCCACUCUAAUUCAUUUCUUUCACUUUUAUUUUAUUACAAUAAAAUAUAGGAUAAACUAUGGUAUGAUUUAUUUUAAGAUAAAAAAUAUAUAUAAAUUCAAAAUCAAGUAUGAUCAUUAAUUUGAGGAUUAGUAGUCAAUUCAUAAGUAACAUAUUAUAAUAAGAUAAUUUAUAGUCAAGAGUCCGCUACGGAGUAAAUUGUACUACUAUCUCUUGAACUAUGUAAUGAGUCAAUUAUUUUAUAGUGAACAGUGCAAUUUACCCAUUUGAUAAGUAUCAAUAGGAUUUGAAAAUUUUAUAGUGAACGAAACAAUAUUUGGCCAAACUAUAAAUUUUGUAGCAGCAAUCGCUAUAGUAAAAUUUUCACGAAUUAUACUAUUUAUGCCUAAAAAUAUUUUUUCCAUAAAAAGUUAGGAAUUUUGACAGCUGCUUACUGGCCUUUUGUGACAAAUGUUGAAAAUUUAGCAGCGAAUAGGUUAGCCACAAAGAUUGAACCGGUUUUUUUGAGGCGAAUAAGUUUUGGCCAUGGUAAUCUUUUACAGCGAUUUAACUGUACGCAACAACAAAAUAAUUUUCGCCAAAAAAUUGCGGCGAAUUAUUAUGUUUUUGUGGCUAUUUGUUU
Molecule: long non-coding RNA, 2303 nt
Filed under: Ananas comosus (pineapple)
Lineage: Eukaryota; Viridiplantae; Streptophyta; Magnoliopsida; Poales; Bromeliaceae
Description: long non-coding RNA (ACOM_LNC023948)
Source: RNAcentral